GGUAUCAACCUCGUCACUUUAUCCCGCUCGGUAUCGCCUUGUCGUAGCUGACCAUCUUUGGCUAGCCCUCCGGACUCGCCAUCGCCCGGCUGUGCGGUCUCUCGCCCUCUUGCUCCCUUCUGUGUGCAACCGCUUUAGUUUCCCGCGUCUUUGUUGAGACCUUGUUGUAGGCUCAUGAAGUUCCUUGAGAUGGCAGCGUUCCUGAACUGCACGGCUGCACCUAGUGCAACGCAGACAUCACGAGGGAGACGGUGAGCAGGGCGCAGCCCAGGAGGCCGCGACGACCGCGAACAGCCUGAGGUCACAAGACGUGACACUCAAUCCCACGCCAGCCCUCGACGGAUGCUUCUGACGUUGGUGGUGCUUCCUCUGUCGCAACCUCCCGAUGUUGGUCACGCCUGGCCUCCAGGGCCGGCCCUCAGGCCCCCAAGGUCUACAGGUUCCUGUUUAUUCAGUUUAUAUCCAAAUAUAUAUACGUUACAGAUAAAUCUCUAUUCUCGUUCUUUUGUUGGGUCUAUUUGAUUUUUUUGAAAUCAUCUUUUUAAGGUCACGCAACAGUCUGCUUAAUGACGAAUACUAAAUAUUGAUUAACGUGAGCAGGACGGAAGGUAUUGUACACUUGUGCUUGUCGCGUUGCUUAAUUCUAGUCUACCAGAGGGCCAACUCUAAUAACCUAUGUUGCUUAAUCAUUGUUUAGUUUGUUGAACUUUGUUUUCAGAAAAUUUGCUCUAAUGUAUUAAGAUUUGGUUUACUGUGUAUUUUAAGGUUUAGGUUAGUUUGACAAAUUAAAAGUAAAAAUACUCGCUCUCAAAAGUCAAAACAAAUGCAGAGUUAUAUUACAUAAUUUGUAUAAUUUUACGACUCAUAAAAUAUUAUAAAAGUUUCUUCAGUCAUAUCAUUUUCAAUAAAAUUGUAUAAAUUAUUAAUUUUUUAUUUUUCAGAUAUUAUUUAAAAGUUAAAAAAUAUCAUAUUUAAAUCUUCGUAUAGAUCCUCCAUAUAGAUUUUUGCUUAGGGCCCCCGAAAUAUCAGGACCGGCCCUAGCCUCUCGGGCUUCCGGCCUCGGCUCCCCUGCACGGCAGUUGCCGCUGGCGAAGAAGAAGGACCACCGACAGUGGAGGGCAAAGCACCGUCCAUUCCCGGCCCAUGCUGCUCAGUCAAGACGACUGAGGUGGCAAAAACAGUGAGGUUGAAAAACAAAAACCCUAUAUCAAAUAGAGAGUCUGUUGGCACAUCAUCCUUUAAGCAAGUUGUCUAUUUUAAAUAGUCAUCUCUAAACUAUAUAUUUAGCUAGUAUUUAUAGAUAAACUGUUAGAGUUGCUCUUAUAGAGCAAUUAUUGCUUUUAACGAACAUUUAUAUUUAACUAGCCAAUUUAAAAACUGUUGGAACACAAUUUUUUAAAUAAAAUCCCUAUUCGUGACAAUUAGAAACGAUGGCAUUUUAAGGCUGUUUGAAUCUACUAUAGGUAGACAAUAGACUGUUUGGAUCCAUUGGUUAGAGAAAAGGAACUGAUUGAGGUCUUGUUUGGAAGUCACACAGUUUUAAGAAACUAUUUUUUAUCUUUUAAGUAGUAGAGAAUUCAAUUUCUAUAAAUUAAGGCAUAAACUGGUAUGUUUGAAACCACCUCAAUUUUUAUAAACCAAUUUUUUUAAAAAACCGGAUGCUUCCAAAUAGAUUCUAAGAUACGACCUUGGAAACUAGAAGUGUGAAAACACCAUUCAUUCAAAAAGUUAGAAUAUAAUAAAUUAGGGAUAAUUGUGAUUAUAGUCUUCGCUGCCCUUGCAAUUACGAUUUUAUCCUCUAUUUUUUAACUCUGUGAUUUUACCCCUCCGUUUUAAGAAGGAAGCUCUGUUAUACCCUUGCGCUAUUGUGUGCAGUUAACAGCGUUAAAUCUAAUAGAAAAGACAAAAACAUCAAUGCAGUUUAUUGUUAUUUUACCCCUCGUUUCGAUGACGUGAUAAAAACAUGGGUAAAAUCAUAAAUAUAUAAUAUAGCGCGAAGUAAAAUCAUAGUAAAUUAUAUGGGCAUUUUUGUCUUUUCACAUCGAUUUUAGCAUAAUCAACCACACAUAACGGCGCAAGGGUAUGACAGAGGAUUGUUUUAAAAACGAAGGGUAAAAUCACAAAGUUGAAAAAUAAAGGGUAAAAUCACAACUACAAGGCCUGGAAGGGGUAUAAUCACAAUUGCAUGUCUAGAAAAAGGAAAAAGCAAAACAAGUAGAAGUGAGUAGGGUCAACAAGAUUACAAGUGUGACGAAGGACAUUUUUAUGUUAUCCAAAUUUAUCCAUUGAUUGAUUACUUGUUUUUAGAGCUAUAUUCAUUCAUUUACGUAUAAAAACUCUCUUGCAUUUUCUUUUCACUUAAAAUUAUCUAAAACAAGAUCAUUUUAGUAACAACAUGCAUUAUAAAAAACGGAAGAAAUCUAUUGAAAAAUUAUAUCAUGAGAAUAUAAGUUCAUUUAAAACUAUAUUAUCAAUAUCUCUAAGAAUAUUCGGGACUAGUUAUUACAUUGAAUCGAAGGAAGAGACAUGAAUCCUUAUCCCAGAACAAAAGAAUAAAAAAAGGAAAACAUUUUUUAUUAUAAAAAUAGGUGUUUGGAAUAUAAGGACAUGUAAAUAUGUUUUUCUCGCUACUAAUAAAUAAGGAAUUGUUCAUCUCUAUGUCUACAUGUAGGAAAACAUUUUACAAGGUUAAAAGAUGUUUAAUUUUUUUAUUUUGUAAAGUAAAACAUGCCUUUCUAUAGAAAAAAGAAAACUUCAUGUCACAAAUCAAGUGGUGUACAUGAUCAAAUUCCUGCAAUUCUCAUUUGACAUAUGUGUCAACAUCUAGAGAACAUUAUACCCUCCGAUCACCAAGACACAUUCAAAUAUUCUGGUAAAAGAGGCUAUCAUUGAGCCAAUUAUAUGGGGACAAACAACACCUAGGAUACCAUUGCUAGAGGACCUCCCUCUCCCUAACAUAGGAGCCCCUGACAGGUUCGCAUCUCAUAGGGCCUUUGCUACUUCAUCGAGGACAUCCACACCAGGGUACUUUCCUCCUUCCUGGAUUAGUUAGAGCUCCUCUAAAUGUUUCACUUUUUUUCUCUUAGUUUUGAGAAACUUGUGAAAGACGCCUAGAGGGGGUGAAUAUGCGAAACCUGAAAAUUAUAAACUUUGAACACAAUCUUUGUCCGAGAUUAGCGUUUGCAAAAAAUGGCUUCUCAUCUCAUAAACGAGAAAUAAGUACCUCCUCUUUGUAGUAAUAAUAAAAAUGUCAUGUGUCUCUACUAUCUGUAAGCUAUCCCAAUCAACUUUUGGCAUAUUUCCUGCAACCUCAAGAUCAUACCUAAACAAAUGUAAUCAUUUAUGAAAUACAUGACAUGAUAUAGGACACAAGCACAUGCUUUCUUCAUACUUGUUGUACUAUACAGCUGCGCAGGGUGUGGGCAGGGCCUGUCUGGCGCUGGGAAGGUUGUGGCCAGCCUAGCGGCGGCGAUCGAUUCGUCAAUCACAGGUUCGAUCCUCCCGUCCAUGGCGGCGCAAGCAAACACGAUCUCAACGAACACUGAGAAUCAUGCACAGGGGUAAAUGUGUCUCCUCAGGUGCUAACUACAUGCAAAUGGUUAAUGGUUUACAAAAGAAUAUUAUACGGUGGAAGGCAGUAUACUCAAUUGGAAGAUCUUUGUAAACCCAUUUUUGCGAGAUAAAUAUUUGUGAUGGCAUUACUGCGUGUUUAGAGUCCUAAAUAUGCAAUUGUCUCCCAAAAUACAGUUCAGUCAGUCCUAUCUAAUAAGAUCUUGCGAACAAUGGUCUCAAACAUACCGACUGAUUGGUUAAGUGUGUCCGUGGCUGCAGGAUGACCCGAGCCUGGCUGGUCGGAUACCGGCGUUUUGGCGGUACGAGCGGAUGCAGUCAAUUAGCCUCUAAAUGACUUGUUUUGCAUCGGCUCGUACAAUCCGCGUCUUCCACGUGCAGGUAACCAAAUACACGCUUAGUCAAAGUCAAUGCACGCAGUAGUCCAGAAUAAAGCGAUGCGAGCAACCAAUCAUAUGGAUAGUGUCUUUCACACUGACACUUGAGAUUCCACCAGAGUUGCUGCAUAAAUGACGUAAAGCAGAAAUUGUGUGAUAGUAUGUCCUUGCAAUAAACAUGGCAUUCUCACCGUGAGCAGUAUAGUAAUCUCUGCCACUUUCCUCCUGUAUUGCUUCUACUACAGCCUCCUUAUCAAAGAUAGGCCCCUCCUUAAAAGUAGCAGACACCAUUUAUCAAAGAUAGGCCCCUCCUUAAAAGUAGCAGACACCAUGUCAUCGAUGUAGCUCAGACAAUUUGUCAAACACAUGAAGGGCGCACUAGUGUUAAAGAUACUAUCAAAUACGAGCUCCACGUCAAAGGCAGGGUGCCCGUUGAGGACGCCGGUGUGUGCAGUCGAGGAGCCAUCGUUUCCUUGGUUGAACACGGCAAGCACGACAUCAUGGACCGGCUCGGUGUCAAAUACCGACAACGACCUGUCCGAGUCGGUGUCGAAGACGGUGAACUCAGAAUCACCGACCAUGUCACGGAGACGGUGAUAUGGUCGGUGAUCGAAUCAGUGUCGAACACCGGUCCCUUGUCGAGCUCGGCGAGGUCGUCGAAGUUGGUCUCAAUGUCCUCGAACACCACAUCGUCAAAAACGGGUUCGGCGCUGAGGUUGUCGGUGUCUGAAGACGGGUGCAAGGUCGACGUGGAACAGCUCCCGGUCAAAUAUGGUUCUCCCGACUGCUCGGAUUUGAGUGGAAUCGAGAGAGAAAUAGGGUAGGGUAGGAUGGGAAAAUUUUCUCCAAGGAAUGGAAUGGCUCAAUACCAUUUGUGAUGGUUCCACCGGGACGUGAGCGCACCGCAAGCUGAAUCCGCCUUCGGACGGAAGCCGGCGACGGAAGGGGAUAAGACCCGAUUCUUUUCUUCUCCCCUCCCCAUCUCUCUGAUGCUGCUCUUGUACCCAUCUCCGAGUUGUGGGCCAUGGGACACCAGACCAGAAACAAGCCAUGUGUUACAGUGAGAUACGACGCUAGAAGAUUAAUACCAGAUUAAACGAGUAAAUUUCCAAAGAACACCAAAUAGGAUGAACAAGUAGCUAAUACUCAAAUGUUAUUGUGGUACUGUGAAUUUGCUUAUUUGAAUGAUGAUGCAACGCUGCCAUUCAAAACCGAUUUCGCCAGUUGCCACGAACGCUCACGCCACGGUGGCCCUUGUCAUCGCAAGCUUCUCGUCGGCUCCGUCUUCAACAUCACCAUCCUCCUUCCCGGAGGAGUUCAGCCCGGCCGCCACCUCAAGCUCCCUCCACGGCCCGUCGAACAUCUCGGGGAACUUCUUGCACAAACCGACAACCACCCGCCUUGCCGCUCGCCCCUUGCCAGCGUCCUUAAGACCGCGCACCAGCACACGCACCGUUCCAAGGUCGGCCACCUUCCGGCGCUUCACUCCCGCGUAGAACACGUCCUCCGCCUCCGACCACCGCCCUGCGCCACAAAGUGCGCCCACCACGCAACUAUAUGUCGCGCAGUCCGGCACCACGUCCGCCUUCUUCCCGGCCUCCAGGCUGCGGUACACCUCCACCGCCUCAUCCAAUCUUUUGUGCCGCGCCAUCGCCCGCAUCAGCGCGUUGUAGGACCCGACAUCCGGCCGUAGGCUGGCCUCCUCGCGCAUGACGCGGAUCACCUCCUUGACCUCAUCCACGGUGCCGUUGGUGGACUUGUAGGUGAGCAGGGCGUUGUAGGCAGCGGUGUCGGGGGCGAUGCCGUGGUCCUGGACCAUGGCGCGCCACAUCUCCUCGGCGCGGUGCGGGAGGCGUUGCUUGUAGAAGGAGUCGAUGAUGGUUGUGAAGAGCUGGAGCGACGGCGGCGCUCCCGACGAAGGCUUCCGGAGGAGGUGGAGCGCGGAGUCGGCGCCGGAGGUGAGGCAGAGCGACUUGGCGAGGAUGCUGUCCGUGACGGCGUCCCGCGGGACAGAGGCAUGCGCGGCGAGGAUUGAGGGCACGAGCCCGGCCAGGCGGCGGCGGCGGAGGAGUGGACCGAGGACCGCGUUCAGGUGCGCGGUAUUGGGCGACGUCAUGGUGCCGAGCAGAGCGGAGGCGCGGUCGGGGAGGCCCAGCGUGGAGAGGGCCGAGAGCGCGGCGACGGGGUGGGAAGGGAACAGGGGCGCGAGAGUCGCGUCGAUGUCGUCGAGGCGGCCAGCGCGGGCGAGCUGGCGAAGACGGGCGAUAGGGACGGGGAGCUCGGUUUUCUCUGCCGCUGCCGCGGCGGUGGAGAGGAGCCGGCGGCCGGCGGCGGAGAAGGUUGCGGCGGCCAUAGCGGCGGAAGUGCGGAGCGAAACCAGUGGCCCUGUAUUAGGGUUUCGAGAAGCCGACUGCAAUAGUGAUCAGACUUCUUUCGCGGGUUCGGUCAGGCAGGCCUUGAGAAUGUGGAGCUGGGUAAAACAGCCCGUUCAGCAAAAUUCUCUGCGUGCCCUUCCUGUCCAUACAUUUUUAGUCCCAAUUUUAUGUCUGCGUUUCCUAUUAACCUCGUCCGAUUAAUCCACUUUUAAAAAUUAAAAGAUCUCGUAAACAAUAAAUUGAAGGAUUUGAUUACUCAAUAUUUGAUUGAAAUAGAUUCAUAACAAUUCUAAAAAAUAUGAAUUUUCUAUUUCAUAAUCAUUCCUAAUUUCAUUCUAAAAAUAAAAUAAAGAACCUAUAUUAUAAUAUGGUUUCUGUGAUUAAUAUUUAUUACUUUGAUUCGUUAGAACAACUUCCAUUGAGUCUCUGCACCUCCUUUUCCUUUGGGUUCUAGUUUAAGAACCACUUAUUUUUUAAAAAAAAACAGAUUUGGCUCAGGAUUCCCAUUUUCCAUUCCAAGGUUUCUCUGAAUUUGGAAGUUACCAUUUAGCAGGUUUCGAUAACAAGGCUCAAUAGAAUCAAGUUUGUAGCGUCUACCGAUUUCUCCAUAUCCCCGUUUUACUUUCCUUUGAAACCAGGAUUCCUGGUAUAAUUUUUCCAUCUCUUAGUUUUUUUUCGAAUCAUUGAAUUCAUUAUUCGGCGUAGUCUAGCAACUCAUCUGUAUUUGAGACACCCCGCUUGCUUAUUGCAAUUCAGAAUUGCAUUGAUUUUAUCGUUAAUAUAUUUGCAAUUCAAUCGGAAUGAAUAUAUCCAAAAGUUUUUCUCCCUCCUACCUCCCUCCUUCCUUUUUAGAGUAUUCCAAAUCAUACUAUAACGCUUGAUAUUCAUUCUUUUUUCUAAACUGAAUUAGAAAUUUCAUUUGCUAUGAUUCUAUCUUCUCCUCAGUGAACUAUUUAUCCUUAAAUUAUUAACAAAUAAAAAACUUGGCAUUUUCUCUUUAUUAUAUUAUUCAUAUAUAUUCUUCUUUUCUAUGUAUUAGAUUAUUCCUCCAAGCCAUAUCAAAUUGAAAAUAUCUGAAAUCAAAUUCAAUAUACAAUUUAGAAUAUAUUUUUAUUAAAAAUCCAUUUGUGAAUUAGAGAAAUAAAAAUAAAGUUCAAUAAAUUCUAUAAUCCUAUUUAAGAAUAUCAUUUAGUUAAGCAUAUCGCUAACUUUAUCUUUAUGAAAUUCUAGUAUUUUUUCUAUCUAAGUGAAACUUCCAAUUUAGAACUAGUUAAUAAUUAAGAUAUGACAUUUUACAUAUUCCCUAUAUAUAUUUUAUUUGUUACAAUUUUCUAUUAUGUAAACCCCACUUAGCUCAGAGGUUAGAGCAUCGCAUUUGUAAUAUGACGGUCAUCGGUUCAAAUCUGAUAGUGGUCGACUUUUUUCUAUCGAUGUUCUAUGAAUAAGAAUUUCUCUUUUUCUCCAAAUAAAAUGGGGAAUCCAGAGUCUAUUAUGUCGUUUCACCUUACAAUUUUGCUAGAUACAAAGUAUACAAUUAAAUAAUAUAUAUAUAUACAAAAAAAUCCAGAUGUUGAUGAAAUUCCAUCUUUUGUGUUACUUUAGUAGAUUCUACUCUAUUUAUGCUUUAGUUUAAUUCUGUUUGAAUUUCAAUGUAUUCUGUAAUAUAAAUAGAACAAAACUUAUUGUGUAAAAUGAUAUAUCAAUAAAAUAAAAAAGGAGUCUUUAUGUCUCGUUAUCGAGGGCAUCGUUAAAAAAACAUCAUAUGGGAGCUUUACUAGGACUCACUAGAAAAGCGCAUAAAUUCGGAAGUAAUCAGAAAAAGAAAUUCCAUUAUGGGAAAAAGAGUAAUGUCAUAUUCAUCUUCAAGACAACAGAAAUUGUGUUUUCAUAAUUGUCUGACAGACCGACAAUUACUUAGAUAUGUAUAUAUCACUGGAAAAGCAAAAAGAUCCACAUGUCAGGUUUCACUACAAUUACUUGAAAUGUGUUUGGAUAACAUCCUUUUUCAAUUGGUAUACAAUUUGCCUCCACGCCAAAUUUGUUUGGAAUCUAAGAUUGUUUCAGGAACUUGCAGCUCAUGAGACCUAUCUGGCAAAGAUGGAACAACGAAAACAUUAGCUCCCACUUUUGGUUUCAACGGUGAUACAUGGAAGAUGGGGUGAAUGCCACAUCCCAUUGGAAGAGCCAAUUCAUAUGCCACCGCAUUGACCUAACAAAAUCACUGUGAAAGGCCUAAAAACUUGAAUGCCAAUUUAGGGUUAAUGCGUGAAGCGACAUAGGACUGAUAGUAAGGUUGAAGUUUGAGGAACACUUUGUCCUGCUGUAAAUUUACGAUCAGUUCGGCCUUUGUAAGCUUGUAUUUUUUCAUUCUUUCUUGAGCUCAGUGAAGAUGUAAUUUAAUUUGCUGCAACACAUGUUGUCUCUCUUCCAUCAUUGUCUAAAUGUCUGGUAUUGUAUGCUUCCCAGAGAUAUCAAUACCAAAGUGUAAAGGCUUAUGACCAUACAACACUUCAAAAGGGGAUGUUCCAAGUGCUGAAUGGUGACAUGUAUUGUACCAAAAUUCUGCUAAUGGCAGCCACAACGACCACUUCUUUGGAAAAGAAUGUAGGAAACAACGAUGGUACAUUUCCAUACACUAGUUCACUCGUUCUGUCUGACCAUCAGACUGGGGAUGGUAAGCACUGCUUAAACAUAACUUCGUGCAUGCUAAACGAAAUAGCUCCUGCCAUAAUUUACUUGUAAACACUAGAUCUCGAUCGGAUAUCAUGGCCGCUGGCAACCCAAGUAGCUUGUAGACCUCAAGCAGAUACAGUUUGGCCACCAAAAAACUAUGAAUGGAUGGCUCAAGGGCAAGAAGUGAGCAUAUUUAGAAAAUUUGUCCACCACUACUAGUAUACAACUUUUUUGGUCUAAUUGUGGAAAUCUAGUGGCAAAGUCAAGACUAGCAGUGUGACAUGCAUGAUUGGGGACUGGUAAUGGUAGAAGAAGGCCUGGAUAUUUUGCCCAAUCCGACUUAGCCCGCUGACAUGUGAUAGUGGAUUGCACAAACUCCUUGACAUCUUUCUUCAUUCCCGGUCACGUAAAGGUAGCCUUGAGUCUACUGUAUAUCACUGGAAAGCCCGAGUGUCCACCCACUGGAUCGUCGUGCAAUGCUGCCAUGAUAGUGUGCUGCAGUUCAGUGUUUGAUCCUAACCAUAUUCUACCUUUAAAUCGAAUCACACCAUUGACCAGACCGUAUUGCUCGUGAAUGCCCCAUGUAGUCAGUAACUACAAUAUCCUCUGAGCAACUUGGUCCUUCUCAUACCUUGAACCACUUGCAACAGCCAAAUAGGAACUAUAGUGGACACAUUGACUUGAUUCAACUGUAACUCGGGUACAUCCAUUUCCAAUCCUGGUCACAUUGAUAGUGCAUCAACUACGCGAUUAUUAGUCCCUUUCUUAUACAUAAUUUUAUAUUGCAACCCCAUAAGUUUGGUCAGGGUUUUUUGCUGCCACGCAGUGGAAACUCUUUGAUCCCCGAGAUGAAUAUGUUGGAUUAAUGUGGGCUUGGCCCAAUUAAUAUUCAAUAAUAGUCAAUGUUAAUUCCAACUCAUGUCCUUGGUUCUAGCCUCCAUAGAUUGCAACCAAUAUAGAGCCGAGCCCUGAAAAUGCAUGACUGCCACCUGGAUCCACAUCUCCAUAGGAACAACAUAGUAUUCAAAAUAAGUUUCACAUUGACUCUUCCACAAAUUGGGAUUGGAACCAUCAAACAAUGGAAAACUUGUUUGGGGUAAAUUCACUCCGGACCCUUGAGACCAACCCUAUCGACGCGAACUGGCUUGCAAGUGUUUGCCCGAACAACCAUGGGGCAUAAGGAGGAGGCAUGACCAUACCUCCCGUUGGUUGAGGAAUUCGAUUUACAUCCAUCUCCAUGAAUGAUCGCCGAAAGGGAUCGGUUGUUCAGUGCAAAGUAGACCCCAGCGGCACUUAUCCAAACGUCGUGUUCGAUGUCGUCGACGUUGAAGAACUUGUUCCCACUAGAACAACACCCCGAUGAGAUGGGUGGUGGAAGUCUCGUAGCCUUCUAUGCCAUCUUGUCCAUCUGGGUGUGUGUGCUUGCCAACACUUCCGUUAUCUCCCCAACCUUCUUCUCGAUUCCCGGCCUCCACCUCUAAAACUCACCCCGAUCGGUCAUCAGACCUUGCACGGUGAGAUCCAUCUACUCCAUGGUUGAGUGCAUCACAUCCAUAUGUCGUCACGUCUCCUUGUUACCCUCAUCGAUUUUGGCGAUUAGCUGCACCAACGAAUCCUCCACCCGUGGACGUGCCAUCUCUCUAGCCUUGGCUUGAAACCUGGUGUUGUACGCGUGGUGAGGAUCCAGAUCGGCUCCGAUUACCAACUGUUAACACCACACAAUCACACAAUCUCGCAAACACUCACAUGCUCGGAUAGUGGUUGGGUUUAUUCUUUCGUGUGUUCCAAGUUCAUCAUCAGCCAAAAGCCAGCCUUACAAUGGAUUACCUUUUUCCCUUUUAAACCCCGCUAAGACUCACAAUAUUCCUUGACUUACAGACAGGUGAGACCCCAGUUACACCCAGCUAUCACCAUCAUACUUCGAAUUCAGCUUCCUCUCCCGAUGGUUCCUCAGCUUCUGGUCCUCAACAACUCCAGCUUUUCCAAGUGGCUUCUCUUCCCCUGGCUUGGUUGGUUACUGUGGUUUGUCUGGCAUGACGGUUCAGUUUAUCAUUAUGACGCAUGAGCUGUUGACAAUUGUCCACUAAACCAAGCCAACUCAAGUGCCCAAAGUUGACUAGGCCGCCCUCCAAAGACGGCCAAUUCGAUCACAGUGUCCGACCCUGUGAAAUCCAGUCUAGCUGAUAGGGGCGAAGCCAGGUUACCUUUUUGUGGUGCACAGGACCAGGGUAAAAUAAAAUCUUGUUAAUAUACUAGUACGAUGCACAUGUGUUGCGACGGCAUAUAAAUUAUUUAAUAAAAUGUUUGUGCACAACGAUUACAUGAAAGCAAACAACACAUAUAUUAUCAUCGACUUCAAUAUCUCAUAAAUUUCACAAAUUGUGCCAACAACCAAUCUCUACUAUAAAGCAUCAAUUUACACAUGCUUUUGGUGGAACUCUAAAGUCAUCUUCACAAUCAGAAUAUCAUAACCUAAAGUCCAAUUCUUAUGGUGACUGACAAUAUAAAUCUACAAAAGAGAAUCAAAUGCAGGUACAAUCUCAAGAAGAAUAUGGUCCUUGAAGAUGACAUAAGCAAAGCUGUUUUUUUUAACAUAUCUUACCUUUAUGUAGAGAAAAAUACAUAAUAUAAAGCUUCCAUAAACAAGAGCAGAGUAUAUCUCCCCAAGUGAUCAUACGCUAUUGGAGGGUUAAAUAUACCGAACCUGACACAAAAGUUUCUUCGUGUUAGCAUGUUUAAUUGUGGACAAAUGACACAUCGACAUACACAAUUUAAGAGCGCCAACACCCCAAUUUGGAAAGGAAAUUGGAGGGAUAAAGUAAAGUCGAUUAGUUCAUAUGCUUAUAUAUAACAAAAGGAUACAUAGAAAUGCAAGCAAAGUUGAGAAUAUCAAAAGGAUAGAAAAACUACAAGCGCAUACACAAGGAUUAUCAGUUUGAUGACCAUAAGAUCAAAGGUUCCAGAACCUUAUUUUGUUCUAUUUAUAGGACUGAUGAAUAGCCAAGAUGUGUGGCAGAGCGUUGAUAGAAGGUAAAUCACAGGAUGCCAGCAUUUAUUCAUUUCAUGCAUGCCCUUCAACAUCUCCUGAAGAGGAAGAGAAAUGGAACCAAGUUAAAAUUACACGAACAACAGGUUGACUAUAACGAAAAAGGAUAGUCUUACCACCACAAACCAAGGUUAAGUUAUCAAGGUCCAAUAUAGUAUACUCAAUUGAUCUUCCAUGUUUAUCUAGCUGCUAGUACUUAUUCAAUUAUUAUUUCUCUUCAUUAAGUUCUUUUAGUCUUUCCUCUAAGUGAGAGCACCUAGAGGGGGGGGGGUGAAUAGGUGAUCCUGUAAAAACUUGAAACUUAAUGCCACAAAACUUGAUUAGGAGUUAGCACCAUAAAGCCAAAUGGCUAGAGAGGAGUUCUUUCACAACACAAUAACCACAAGAAGAUCAACACAAAUAGGCACAGUGGUUUAUCCCGUGGUUCGGCCAAGACCAACACUUGCCUACUCCAUGUUGUGGCGUCCCAACGGACCAGGGUUGCACUCAACCCCUCUCAAGCGGUCCAAAGACCCACUUGAAUACCACGGUGUUUUGCUUUGUUUCACUAUAUCCCGCUUGCGAGGAAUCUCCAAAAGUUGGAGCCUCUCGCCCUUACAAUUUGAUGUUCACAAAGAAGCACGGAAAUAAGGACGGGAUGAGCAACGCACACAAGACACAAAAUCAGAGCACACACACGCGCACAAGUCACAACUCAAGCUCACAACACAACCCAAAGAGUUCUCUACUCAAAUGGAGCUCUAGUUGCUAUCACAAAGAAUCAAAUGCGUGGAAUUGGAGUCUUGGUGCUUAGGAAUGCUUAGAGAAUGCUUUGGUGUUCUCCUCCAUGCGCCUAGGGGGCCCUUUUAUAGCCCCAAGGCAGCUAGGAGCCGUUGAGAGCAUUCCAGGAAGGCAAUUCUUGCCUUCUGUCGUCUGGCGCACCGGACAGUCCGGUGCACCACCGGACACUGUCCGGUGCGGAUUUCUUUCCUGUUUUGGCGCAGCCGACCGUUGACGAUUUGGAGUCGUUGGCGCACCGGACACUGUCCGGUGCACACCGGACAGUCCGGUGCCCCCUUCAGACUGUUGGCCUGGCCACGCGUCACGCGCGGAUUGCGCGGCCGACCGUUGGCUCGGCCGACCGUUGGCUCACCGGACAGUCCGGUGCACCAUCGGAUAGUCCGGUGAUUUAUAGUCGUACGCCGCCGACGAAACCCGAGAGCAGCCAGUUCGCCAGAGCCAGCCUGGCGCACCGGACACUGUCCGGUGCUCCCAGACUGAACUGUCUUUGGCUGAACAAAGCCAUCUCUUUUCCAAAUUGAUUUCUCCUAUUUCCAGUACUUAGACACAAUACAUUAGUCCUUAAAACAAAGUACUAAGUCUUAGAAACAUACCUUUAUGUUGAUUUUCACUUCUUGAGUCCUUGGCAUAAUUUAACACUUAGGCACUUGUGUUGGACACUUAAUCACCAAAAUACUUAGAAAUAGCCCAAGGGCACAUUUCCCUUUCACUAAGUAGUGGAGACAAUUUGAUCAAUCUGUUUCCCUUUGUUGGCUUCUUGUAAGUAAGGAAUUGUGUCUCAACAUGCUACUUUGAUAUUUGUUAAGAUAUAUUAAGAAUUAUGGAGAUUCAAAGUUUCAAACUACUUGUUUUGGUCAUUAUUUUCAAGCUCUCCUUCCGCCUAUCUUCAAAUAUGUGUGCCACCAAUCUCUUUGGGAUGAUAUAGUUGUUCAGAAUCUUUCAUCACUUCAUCAGGGUAAAGGAUGCAAUCUACUAUUGACAAAUGUGUCCACGUAAUAUCUGAACAGAUUGAAUACAUGGAUAAGUAAAUGGUGAGUACUUGUUACCUUUCCUUGCUAGACAAUGUAGUAUGGAUUACAACGAGAGAAACCGGUACUGGGAGUGAACUUUUAACAAGAAUGAAACAUUAGACUCACCCAUGGAGUUCAACAAGUCUGUUAGUAAGCUCGUACACAUAAGAGUAAUAAAAGUACAUACGAGAUGCCAAGACAUCAUUCAACAGUUCUCCACUUUAGAUUCUUCAGGUGAGUAAUGCUCACACUUGCACAUGUUUUAGCCUUAAUACAAAAGCAGUCAAAAUAUUAUUUUACACAUCAAACAUAAGGAAAAUCAGCGUUUUAGAUGUACCUCAUCGUAUUUCUUCUAAUCAAUAAGAAAAAUCAGUACAAGCAGGUAGCAAUAUAUUUCAAUCUCAAGGAUACCAUGUUUGAUUGAAAUCAAAGCCACAACAUCAACAUCCAUCUUAGUAUCGUCUUCCUGAAAGAAACUACAAGUGAACAUUAGGAGUUAUAAAUGUGAUAUUUUUUUCUAAAGUGGAUACAUGAUAGAAAUUGAGGAAAUGAGUUUGUGUCCUUAUCAAGUCAAAUUUGGGUAUUGUUUAUUCUCUAUAUAUGAAGCCACUUAGAUCAUCCCAAGAUGGUCUGUUUUAAGAUAAACUUAAAUCUUACAGGACAUACAGAAGCAAUAGACUUUGCCACUGGAACGACCUUGUCAUCAAUAUAACUAACAAAACAAUUGCAGACAGGACACCCUGCAAUUAAGCAUUUGAAAGAAGCACUCAGAUUAGUGGGGACAAGGAUGGCAUGGAACUAAAUCACAUUGUUACAAUGCUCCAAAUAAACAUACCAGACUUGGGCAUAUUACAACAAUUUGCUUCUCCAGCAAAACUCCAACGAAUAACCCUAACACCUUUAGGAAAAAAUAACUUUAUGCAAAAAUGAAUAGUCACGACAACAAUUACCAUUUAUAUUAUACCCCAUAUACCAAAUGUAUGAUCUUAAAAUGGGUUAGUAAUGAUCGUACUGAACAAACAGAAUUGCAUGGAUGUGACCUAUAUUUAAUGUGGUCUUAAUCACCUAUAUUUUACACAGCAAAAUAUAUAGUGUUUUGUGAUUCAAAAAGACCAGCUUCCAUUCAAAAAGUUUUGUUUCUCACCCUGCUCAGGCUUUGUACAGUCUUUUUUGUUUGCUCUCCUUUUUUGUUUUGUUUGUGCAAUUGUUUCUUUAGUUCUAACAAACUUUUAUUAUAGUGCUAUACUGUAUUUACAGUUCAAAAAUGUUUGGUUGGUUCAAGAACUAAUGAAAUCUCUCACUUCACUUCUUCCUGUUGAUUAAGAAAAAUAACUCACGACAUAGCAUACAGGUCUUAUCUGUGGAAUUUCACAAACAACAAAAAAAUAAAGAUAGAAGAAAAUCUUGGUUGUCAAUAUUAUAUCUUAGGAAAAGGUCUUGAGUGUUGAGCUUCUUCUGCAGUCACCAAAUGUAAAUUGAUCUACAUUCUAAGUUUCAAGAUUAGAGAAAUGGAUGAAUGAUACUGCAGGCUAUAGUCAUGAUAGGUCAAGUAUCUACUUUAAAUGUCCAAAUCGCCUCUGCAAAACCCAACAAGGGUAAUCCAGACCAGGAGUAUUUCACAGGUUGGACAUGUUCAAGGGUGUGGAAUACAAGUUCACCACCACGAGGUGGUUGAGGAAGAGCAUGAUAACCACAAACAAUCUGUAGAGGUUCAUUAUUGUGUGCCUAAAAACGAUAAUGUAUAUGAACAAUAAGAAUUCAAGCCAUCUUAAGGUAUUUGAGAGGCAUGAAUAUCUAAAAUGACCGGCACCGGUUUGUCCUCCAAAGUACUACUAUAAAUUUUUUUGUACACUUGUACUGACGGUUAUCAUGGGUAAAACAAAAAAAAAACACAGGGCAACUCUUAACUAAAUGCUCAUACUUUAAUGGUCUAAUACAACUUAUUUUAGCAGUGUAUUAUCUUGAUUUGUCCUGCAGAGAUAUGGUGCUUUGUAUUUGUUGGCAGCUUCUUCAAUUACUACUGGAAUGUCCAUGAGCUGGAGGUCUGUGGCUGUUUGUCUAUGUUUAGGUUAUCUCCAUCAGCUUUUCUAUCCUACAUACCAUGUCUCCUAAAAAUGCUCCAAACCGACCACAUACAUUGAAACUGCUUCAUUAAAAAAACAUGACACCAAUAUUUUUUAAAAAGACAACACUUCAUAAUUUUACUAAAAGCAAAUUUGUCAUGUUUCUCGGUCCAUAGUUUCAACACGAGAAGUACUUGACUAUAAUUCUGCUUCAGAACCCAUGAGAAAUAGUACUUUUCUGCUGUCCAUAAGCUAACAUGACCAAAUUUGUUUAAAUGUGGAGCCUACAAAAAAUCAAACUUUCUGCAUUAUUUUAAGCUAAGAGAAAAGAGCUAUUACUAAUACUCAAAGCACAGCAUGCAGAGCCCACACUCGAGCUCCCACUUUGUGUCCACUUCUGAUAAAUGCUCAUCCCUGCUCCUAAAUUUUUUCAGGCACAAUUUCCUUUGUUUCAUGUCAUCCAGCUCGGUGAUGCCACUUAGAAGAUGCAGCAGCGACGGGAAAACAAUGUCUGCCAUAGCGUAACGCAGUCAGAAUCGACACUUAUGGGCAAUUAUUCAAGGAAGAAAGUGGGUGGGUUACCAUAAAACUCCAUGAUGAUGGCCUCCAUCUCCCAAUCAGGAAGCGCCGACGAGCCAUUUGCGCACACCUAUCGGAGAAACAACAACUCUACAGCCAGCUCAUGGAGUGAAAACCUAAUCGAGCACGACCACGAGCUAGGGUGCAAGGUGAUACCUUGUAUAGCAUAAUCUUCAGGAGGUCGAACACGCCCGUGAGCUUGUGCCUUGCAGUCGGUACAGUGCAGGAGGAAAUGAGUGACGACGUUGUACGCCACCCACAUCUGGAUGACCGAACCAUCAUAGUCCCUAAGGAAUUUAGGCCCCCUGCUCACACAAACAAUCCCGAAACAAAAAAUGCGCACACAUCAUCCAUUCACGCUGUUGGACCUCAUGGACAGGGGCAGUGGCGGUGUUAUCGACACCGCACCAUCAUGUAGGCUGGCAUGACUCUCGCUGGACAGAUGUGCGGUGGUCAGUGCCUGAUCCAGACUUCUCCUCACCGCAUCGUCGCGGUCUUCCUUCCCAUGCCUCGAAAGCAUCGCGGCGCGCGCGACGAGGGAGGAGCUCGGUGGCGCCUCGGUUCGGGCGAUACAGGGGCGAGGGCUAUGCGCCUGUGGGGGAGGGAACACGCAGCGGGGCAUCAGGAGGCGGGCGUGGUGGGCGGGGGGCAUAGAGGUAGGAGAGCGGGACGGGGGCACGGACGCCGAUCUGGGGGAUGGGGGCACGAUAUUGCCGCGCGGGAGGGCGAGCUUGACGCGGGGACGCUAAGAUUGCCGCGGGGGAGGGAGAUUGCCGCGGGGGAGGGUGAGCUUGCCGCGGGGGACGCCAAGAUUGCCGCGGGGGACGCCGAGAUUGCCGCUGGGGAGGGCGAGCGCCGAGAUUGCCGUGGGGGAGGGCGAGGGGGAGCGUUUGCCGAGGGCGCGCUGCUGCGAUGUCAGGCGAAGGCGUGGUGGAUGCCCCCGCUACGUACAUAUGGUGCAGCAGAGAUACCUUAAAUUUAUCAUGUAUUUCCCUUUAAAUUGUAUACUUUUUUUGUGUUUGAUAGAGUGUGCACUAGUGUUAUUUUUGAGCUGGCUUCAUCCUUGCUAGUAGACUUCCAAUGUCGUCUAGGUUGACUUUAGCUCAUUUAGAGUCGAUUAUUUCCAAAUCGUUUUUGGAUCUAUUUCAGCCUGGAAAACUUGAAGAACAGAUUUCGGAUUUGUUUUUACUAGGAUAAAACCACCUAUCUCUGAUUUACGAAUCGUAAAUAAAUAUUUGAAUCGUGAUCUAUUACCACUCCCAUUUGUAAGCCCAUUUGUAAACCGAUGUCUCCGCCACGUAAGUGUCGACAAAUCCUUCAAGCGAGAGGGAUUGAGGGAACGACGACUUGAUAGGAUCAUAAAACCUUGGGCUUAAGAGAGACGACAACGGGACGCUUGAACGAGACUCCUCGCUGCUGGUACAGCUACAGCAUAUCGGUUAUCGGGGCCAUGCUCACGCACGACCUGUCCGCCUCACUAGGCUGUCAUGUUUGCCCGUUGGUGUCUCGCAUAAUGGAGGAGAUGGAGAUGGGGAGGAGAAUAGACAGGGGUUAACUUCCUGAUGAUGGCUGGCCGCCCAUCAUUAGUUGAGCAAAAAGAAAAAAACGAGAGGAUAUGCUUCUUUUUACGUUUGGCAGUCGUCUGGACUGGACCAGAGAGAAGGGAAGCGCAGCUGCAGACCAGAGAGGCGCGCUCGGCUCGACCGCAUGAUGGAGGUUUCACGUGCUCUCUCUGCCUUUUGGCCUUUCGUGUCUGGUGUUGCAUGGACCCAACCCUGACGGCUUCACUACAGGUACAAGGGUAGUAAUGGUUUGUUACACGCUUCAACUCCCCCUCCCUCGUCUCGACACGAGCUGCCAGAUCAUAACUGUAUUCUUUGUUGCCUGGCUUGAGAAGGAAACGAAGCUUAAGUACUCUUCUCCAUCAAACCACUGAAAUGAAAAGAAAAAAAAAGGAGGGGGGAGGGCAGGAAAGGUCUGGGUCAAGCUGAACCAGACCGUCCAAAGGAGGAGAGGGACAGGUCAGUGCAGCAAGCAAAAAAGAGAGGCCCCCAUAUGGCUCCAUGCCUUUUAACAGCGAUCAUGUGCUGCUCCUGCUCGCCCGCCAGUACACGCAGCGACUCAUCGCGGUCAUGUUUAUUUAUUUUUGCCAGGAUUGCUUUGCUAAGAAUUUCUUUGGAACUCGCACUGAAAUGAGAUCGGCAUUUCUGCCGCUGUCGCAUUCAGUUUAAUAAAAUACGACGAUGAUAUAAAAAGGAACUCGGCAAGGUUGGGCUUGGGCAUCACGAUUCAUUCAUGGUGUGAGCUUCUGUUUGCACGGAUACGUCUAACGACUAGGGAUGAAAGUGGUAAUCCGAACUGUUAGAACAAAUUUAAUAUUUUAAAAUAGAUAUGUAUAAAAUUUGAUGUUGAUCUUUUCUUAUGUUAUCAAGCACAUUAGUACAAAUAUGGAUAAAAUAUUAUAUAAGUUGUUUUAUGUAUUAUUUGCUCUCUACAACACAAAAAGUUGAAAAAAUUACCGAAUUUGUUUCCGAAUCCAUACCAAAGUUUAUAUCUAUUAUUUGAGAAAAUGUAGGAUGAAUUUGAGGUUUACCUUUUAUGAAUCUUAACAAACUGGAUGUUAAAAAUAAGAAUACAAAUUUGUAUUGUAUAUUCUAUAUCUUAUUUAUUCGCAAUCAAAGAAAAAACUGAUUACCGAAUAAAUACCGUUUCCGACCGUUUUCAUCCCUACUAACGACCCUCAUAAAUGAGAUGAGAUGCCCAAAUCUUCGCCAGCGAAGGAAGAGCAUUAAACUACACACGCCCCAAGGUUCAUUCUCCUGCCUGAGAGCAGAUCGAGAAAACACACCUGAAGGAGAUAUACUCCUAUUUUAACCAGUCACUCUUUUCAGAUGGUCAAUGAUUUAUUUGAUUUUUUAAAUCCUGGCUACAUCCACAGAAGAACGGAAACGGACCUGCGUCGAUGCAACGCGACGCGGAUCCCUAGUAGAAUCAAAUCUAACGCGUCACAGACAGCGACGCGAAAUUCGCAGCGAGCGAUGGAGCGAUGUAUAACGAUAAAUCAAGCGCAGAGAAAGACGAGACUAGCAGCAACGCAUAUCUCAAAUGGGACCAAUAUCAGUAGCAAAUAUCAACCAGACAGAAUCACCACUCACGAUCACGACGAGAUAGCAGAGUACUAUCUACAAGGGGGGGAUGAGAUCACACAACCGACACCGCGACAUGGUAUAGAAACCCUCCCUGCACCAAGGAAACCAGAUCCGACCAAAAUGCGACGACGACACGACAGCACCGAACAAAUCUCACUACUACUAGUACUACUGGAUAGCACUCCAAUAAAUAGAUCUAGGCGGCGGCGGCGGCGGCGGGGGAAGUACUGCUAGGUAGCCUGCAGGCACGAGGCCCCAUCGGCUCAGUGGCGGACGGCGGCGAAGAGGAAGGCGGCGGCGGAGGCGACGAGAGCCGCGGCGAAGGGCGACGACGCCGCGACGGCGGCGGAGACGGGGCUGGGCGCGGGCGCCUCGGCCGCGGCGGCCACCGAGAAGGAGACGGCCGCCAGAACGGCGGCAACGGCGAGGGCCUUCGAUCCGACUCCGGCCAUUGCUUGCUUCGCUUCGACGGGUUGUGGAUUGUGGUGUGGCGGCGGCGAGAUGGUUCCAGAAGGCUGAUGCGUUGCUGUGCAGAAUAAUAGUGGCGAGCACGAGAUCUAUGCUGGUGCCUGGUGGUGGGGAAAGGUGUGGAGGGGCGAGUAUUUAUAGAGGACAGGGGUUGGAGUCGCGGGCUAACGGGUAUGGCUCGCUGGUGACAGCUGGUAUUGGUAUAGAGCUUUAGGCCAACUCCAGUAACUGUAUGUGGAUG
This 20331-nucleotide long non-coding RNA is filed under the name Zea mays. Its description in RNAcentral is "long non-coding RNA (ZMAY_LNC002092)". The stretch from base 7666 to 7738 matches the Rfam family "tRNA". The record is from RNAcentral. Lineage: Eukaryota; Viridiplantae; Streptophyta; Magnoliopsida; Poales; Poaceae.